GGGGAUAUAGCUCAAUCGGGAGAGCGCCUGCCUUGCACGCAGGAGGUUGAGAGUUCGAUUCUCUCUAUCUCCA
This 73-nucleotide transfer RNA is filed under the name bacterium. RNAcentral's name for it is "tRNA-Ala". It matches the Rfam family "tRNA". From Rfam's summary of the family: Transfer RNA (tRNA) molecules are approximately 80 nucleotides in length. Their secondary structure includes four short double-helical elements and three loops (D, anti-codon, and T loops). Further hydrogen bonds mediate the characteristic L-shaped molecular structure. tRNAs have two regions of fundamental functional importance: the anti-codon, which is responsible for specific mRNA codon recognition, and the 3' end, to which the tRNAs corresponding amino acid is attached (by aminoacyl-tRNA synthetases). tRNAs cope with the degeneracy of the genetic code in two manners: having more than one tRNA (with a specific anti-codon) for a particular amino acid; and 'wobble' base-pairing, i.e. permitting non-standard base-pairing at the 3rd anti-codon position. RNAcentral also lists the same sequence under 4 other names. The record is from RNAcentral.